RNAcentral lists this ribosomal RNA (241 nucleotides) under uncultured bacterium. RNAcentral's name for it is "partial 16S ribosomal RNA". The record is from RNAcentral.
SGCCCCGCGCCCGGCCCGCCGCCCCCGCCCCCUGUUUGAUACCCACACUUUCGAGCAUCAGUGUCAGUUGCAGUCCAGUGAGCUGCCUUCGCAAUCGGAGUUCUUCGUGAUAUYUAAGCAUUUCACCGCUACACCACGAAUUCCGCCCACCUCUACUGUACUCAAGACUGACAGUAUCAACUGCAAUUUUACGGUUGAGCCGCAAACUUUCACAACUGACUUACCAGUCCACCUACGCUCC